Molecule: ribosomal RNA, 425 nt
Filed under: Laeliaena sahlbergi
Lineage: Eukaryota; Metazoa; Arthropoda; Insecta; Coleoptera; Hydraenidae
Description: partial 28S ribosomal RNA
Rfam family: Eukaryotic large subunit ribosomal RNA
Source: RNAcentral
GGGAAACCCUGAUGGAGGUCCGUAGCGAUUCUGACGUGCAAAUCGAUCGUCGGAACUGGGUAUAGGGGCGAAAGACUAAUCNAACCAUCUAGUANCUGGNUCCCUCCGAAGUUUCCCUCAAGAUANCUGGCGCUCGUAGCGUGCGAGUCUCAUCCGGUAAAGCNAAUGAUUANAGGNNUUGGGGUCGAAACGGCCUCNACCUAUUCUCAAACUUUAAAUGGGUGAGAUCUCCGGCCUGCUCGAACGUGAGGCCGCGAGACAUAUCGGGCGCGCGCGGGGGCCUCGCGCCCUCGCGCGCCGCUCCGUAAACGGAUCAGAGUGCCAAGUGGGCCACUUUUGGUAAGCAGAACUGGCGCUGUGGGAUGAACCAAACGCCGGGUUAAAGCGCCAAAGUCGACGCUUAUGGGAUACCAUGAAAGGCGUUG